CUAUCUCCCGGUUAGCCGGUGCGUGGGUGCGGUGUCAUGUCAUAACAAUAAACGACUCUCGGCAACGGAUAUCUCGGCUCUCUGCAUCGAUGAAGAACGUAGCGACAUGCGUAUACUUGGUGUGAAUUGCAGAAUCCCGUGAACCAUCGAGUUUUUGUACGCAAGUUGCGCCCGAGGCCUUUGGCUGAGGGCACGUCUGCCUGGGCGUCACGCAUCGCAACCCCCCAACCCACUCUACGUGUGAAGGGGAGGAAGUUGGCUUCCCGUGCCUCACCGGGUGCGGUUGGCCUAAAUUUGGAGCCUAAGGCAUUGGGUNGCUGUCGGCGAUAGGUUGGUGAACAAGGCCUUGGCCGUGCAAAGCAACCGGUCGUUGCAACCCUUUGACAGUACGUCGUCUCGUAGGCACCCAAGGAUGUUGCCUUGUUGCGCACACAAACGUUGCG
RNAcentral lists this ribosomal RNA (443 nucleotides) under Stellaria sp. 325. Its description in RNAcentral is "eukaryotic LSU rRNA". The stretch from base 54 to 210 matches the Rfam family "5.8S ribosomal RNA". The record is from RNAcentral. Lineage: Eukaryota; Viridiplantae; Streptophyta; Magnoliopsida; Caryophyllales; Caryophyllaceae.